AGCUUUGCGCAGUGGCAGUAUCGUAGCCAAUGAGGUUUAUCCGAGGCGCGAUUAUUGCUAAUUGAAAAAGGCUGCCGUGGG
This 81-nucleotide small nuclear RNA is filed under the name Panthera pardus (leopard). RNAcentral describes it as "U4 spliceosomal RNA (ENSPPRG00000019399.1)". The stretch from base 1 to 69 matches the Rfam family "U4 spliceosomal RNA". Rfam says of the family: U4 small nuclear RNA (U4 snRNA) is a component of the major U2-dependent spliceosome. The record is from RNAcentral. Lineage: Eukaryota; Metazoa; Chordata; Mammalia; Carnivora; Felidae.